UAGUCCACGCCGUAAACGAUGAGAACUAGAUGUCGGGGGAAUUUGUCCUUCGGUGUCGCAGCUAACGCGUUAAGUUCUCCGCCUGGGGAGUACGCCGGCAACGGUAAAACUCAAAGGAAUUGACGGGGACCCGCACAAGCGGUGGAGCAUGUGGUUUAAUUCGAUGCAACGCGAAGAACCUUACCAGGCCUUGACAUCCUCGGAACUUUCUAGAGAUAGAUUGGUGCCUUCGGGAACCGAGUGACAGGUGCUGCAUGGCUGUCGUCAGCUCGUGUCGUGAGAUGUUGGGUUAAGUCCCGUAACGAGCGCAACCCUUGUCCUUAGUUGCCAGCACUUCGGGUGGGAACUCUAAGGAGACUGCCGGUGACAAACCGGAGGAAGGUGGGGACGACGGUCAAGUCAUCAUGGCCCUUACGGGCCUGGGGCUACACACGUGCUACAAUGGGAACGCACAGAGGGGCAGCAAACCCGCGAGGGGGANCGGAAUCCCACAAAACGUUUCGUAGUCCGGGAUUGGGAGUCUGCAACUCGACUCCA
RNAcentral lists this ribosomal RNA (537 nucleotides) under uncultured bacterium. RNAcentral's name for it is "bacterial SSU rRNA". It matches the Rfam family "Bacterial small subunit ribosomal RNA", at positions 791 to 1320 of the family's 1533-position model. The record is from RNAcentral.